This 634-nucleotide long non-coding RNA is filed under the name Pongo abelii (Sumatran orangutan). Its description in RNAcentral is "lincRNA". Lineage: Eukaryota; Metazoa; Chordata; Mammalia; Primates; Hominidae. The record is from RNAcentral.
CUGAACACUGUCAUCUGCCAGAGCUUCAGGCAAGAACCCAGAACAGAUGAAACCCCAGACAUGACAAAAUAAGCCAAGGAAUACCAGGCCAAGAUGUGAAAGGCCAGAUGAGAACAAGCAGCAUACAUGAUUCUGUUGCCAACAGAUCUCCCCUAACAGUGUCGUCCACCAAAUUUCCACAGUGAAUGUCAGGAAAAAAUGGCAAUUGAGAUGAAGAAACUGAGGCAGACAGAGGUGAAGAAACUUGCACAAGGUCAAAGAACAAGCUGAAGAAAUCUGAAAAAAGGCUGAAAGCUGAAACAACUGACGGAAUUCUACGAGACUGUACAAACAAACAAACACUAGCAAAAGAAAUAAUCUAGACACAAGGGGAGGAUUCAUCAUCAAAUAAUUACAUGAUUUCAUGUUAAUGUGGGGAAGGGAAAUACUUGUCAAUGGCUAUGUGUCAAACUGUCCCUGGAGAAGUCAAAAGAAUACCUGAAGCUACAUUAGAAGCACGACUGAGAAAUCACUGAUAUAUUACUUCUCACUCCUUUAUCGCCAGGCAGUACAGUGACUGCAAAUUGCAGUUAGAAUGGAAAUGUCGGCAUGUUGUUUAUUUUCAACAUGACUCGACAUCAGAAUAACAAAAAUU